Molecule: non-coding RNA, 75 nt
Organism: Paramuricea clavata
Lineage: Eukaryota; Metazoa; Cnidaria; Anthozoa; Malacalcyonacea; Plexauridae
Source: the annotation of a GenBank genome assembly
UUUAUGACGUCGAUAUUCGACGACAUAAACACGAAAUUUGAUGGUGUUUAUGACGUCGAAUGUCGACGUCAUAAA